Molecule: long non-coding RNA, 769 nt
Organism: Cyprinus carpio (common carp)
Lineage: Eukaryota; Metazoa; Chordata; Actinopteri; Cypriniformes; Cyprinidae
Source: Ensembl
AGGCUGGCCUACCGGGACCCGCGCUGAAUCCGGAGGGAACUCUCUCCCGGAUUGAAACGACGCAAUUUAGCUCGGCAAACGCCGGCAUUCAAUCAUUCAGAUAAGACCUGGAGCCCAUGAAUGUCAAAGCGAGAGCACAGCAGCACUAACAACACGCCGGGAUGGAAACAGGAAAUGACUGGUGUUUUCAAAUGGAUUCCUUGAUGUGUCCUCUACCCAGCAAGUUAGUGGGGCAAGAAAAUGUGAAUUAAAAAUACCUAAUUUCUUUCUUUCUCUCUCUUUCUCUCUCUCUCUCUUGGUCUGGCACAGUGACUGCAAAGUUUUGAAAAAGUAUCUGUUAAUUCCUCACUACUUGCUCUAUCACAACACUUUGAAAAGAACAAGGGGGUUGGGCGGGAGGAAUCCAUGGCUGACAACACGUUUCCCGUGUGACACUUAACCUGUGGAGCUUUCGGAUUCUCUCUGAUCAUUCAGUGUUUGGUACAUGUUAAUUAACCCUAGGGCAUAGUAGAGCUUUACAGCUUUGAAGAAGGAAAUAUCAGAGACAUCAAGAGGUAAGAUAAAAAAGGAAGAGACAAAAAAUAUCUUUCUCACUAGCAGUUGUUUUUCCAUGCAUACUCGGCUUACUGUAUUCUUGACUGGUUUGAUUCGGCUGAGGAACGUGCAGUUGUUACGUUUGAAAGCACAGUGUUCUUGAAGGUAUGUUGCAAGGAUAUAGAAGAGAAAGCUAUACGUCAAACUCUCCAUCAGAGCUUUGUAAGCGCCCUUA